CGAAAACGAAUUCUCUCUUGAGUGGAUCCUGAGUACGACGGAGCACGUGAAAUUCCGUCGGAAUCUGGGAGGACCAUCUCCUAAGGCUAAAUACUCUCUAGUGACCGAUAGUGAACCAGUACCGUGAGGGAAAGGUGAAAAGUACCCCGGAAGGGGAGUGAAAGAGAACUUGAAACCGUGUGCUUACAAGUAGUCAGAGCCCGUUAAUGGGUGAUGGCGUGCCUUUUGUAGAAUGAACCGGCGAGUUACGAUCUGAUGCAAGGUUAAGCAGAAAAUGUGGAGCCGUAGCGAAAGCGAGUCUGAAUAGGGCGAAUGAGUAUUUGGUCGUAGACCCGAAACCAGGUGAUCUACCCUUGGUCAGGUUGAAGUUCAGGUAACACUGAAUGGAGGACCGAACCGACUUACGUUGAAAAGUGAGCGGAUGAACUGAGGGUAGCGGAGAAAUUCCAAUCGAACUUGGAGAUAGCUGGUUCUCUCCGAAAUAGCUUUAGGGCUAGCCUCAAGUGAUGAUUAUUGGAGGUAGAGCACUGUUUGGACGAGGGGCCCCUCUCGGGUUACCGAAUUCAGACAAACUCCGAAUGCCAAAUAAUUUAACUUGGGAGUCAGAAUGUGGGUGAUAAGGUCCAUAUUCGAAAGGGAAACAGCCCAGACCACCAGCUAAGGUCCCAAAAUAUAUGUUAAGUGGAAAAGGAUGUGGCGUUGCCCAGACAACUAGGAUGUUGGCUUAGAAGCAGCCAUCAUUUAAAGAGUGCGUAAUAGCUCACUAGUCGAGUGACACUGCGCCGAAAAUGUACCGGGGCUAAACAUAU
This 809-nucleotide ribosomal RNA is filed under the name Staphylococcus pseudintermedius. RNAcentral's name for it is "partial 23S ribosomal RNA". It matches the Rfam family "Bacterial large subunit ribosomal RNA", at positions 380 to 1191 of the family's 2925-position model. The record is from RNAcentral. Lineage: Bacteria; Bacillati; Bacillota; Bacilli; Caryophanales; Staphylococcaceae.